RNAcentral lists this ribosomal RNA (464 nucleotides) under Shuttleworthella satelles. RNAcentral describes it as "bacterial SSU rRNA". It matches the Rfam family "Bacterial small subunit ribosomal RNA", at positions 28 to 490 of the family's 1533-position model. Lineage: Bacteria; Bacillati; Bacillota; Clostridia; Lachnospirales; Lachnospiraceae. The record is from RNAcentral.
GAUGAACGCUGGCGGCGUGCUUAACACAUGCAAGUCGAACGAGAAAUGAUAUUACGAUCUCUUCGGAGUGAUGAUUUUAUUUCGAGUGGCGGACGGGUGAGUAACGCGUGAGCAACCUGCCCUGUACCGGGGGAUACCAGUUGGAAACGACUGUUAAUACCGCAUAAGCGCACGAUAAGACAUCUUGUUGUGUGAAAAACUCCGGUGGUAUAGGAUGGGCUCGCGUAUGAUUAGCCAGUUGGCGGGGUAAAGGCCCACCAAAGCGACGAUCAUUAGCCGACCUGAGAGGGCGACCGGCCACAUUGGGACUGAGACACGGCCCAAACUCCUACGGGAGGCAGCAGUGGGGAAUAUUGCACAAUGGGCGAAAGCCUGAUGCAGCGACGCCGCGUGAGUGAGGAAGUAUUUCGGUAUGUAAAGCUCUAUCAGCAGGGAAGAAAGAAAUGACGGUACCUGAGUAAAAG